Molecule: long non-coding RNA, 1065 nt
Filed under: Callithrix jacchus (white-tufted-ear marmoset)
Lineage: Eukaryota; Metazoa; Chordata; Mammalia; Primates; Cebidae
Description: lncRNA (ENSCJAG00000076118.1)
Source: RNAcentral
AUCAAGGGUAGUUUAUUCCAAGAAUAAAAGGAUGGUUCAAUGAGUAAAUCUGUAACAUAAUUAAUUCUAUUAAUUGAUUAAAAAGAAUAAUGUGAUUAAUAUCCAGUAUGUUGAAAGGGGAUUUUGUGAUAUUUUAAACACAUUCUUAAUUUAAGAAAAACUUUUAAUGACAUAAGUACAGGUGAAUAGCUCCUUAAAUAUCCAUUUGUCUAUUCACUUACCCCAAAGCCAGGAUCAUGCUUAGUGGGAAAUACUGGAGCUUGCUUAUUGAAGUCAAGAGCAGAGCAAAGAUAUCAUUGAUUACAAUUUUGAUUUAAUAUUUUUCUGGUGAUUUAGCCAAUGUAAUGAGAUAAAGAGAAUAAAAAACAAGAGGCUUAAAAAUUGGGAAAAGAGGAACUAAAUUUUACAUUAUUUGAAAGGAAACUAUUACCUAUGUGGCAAAUCCAGGCAUAUCAACUGAAAAGCCAUUAUAAUUAGUAAAAGAAUUCGGUAAAGGACUGGUACAAAAUUAGUAUACCAAAAUCAAUAGCUUUCACAUGCACACAUACCAACAACGACUAGUUGGAAGAAACAAUAGAAGAAAAGAUCUAUUGACAUUAAUAGCAAAAGAUAAAAUAACCAGAAUAACCAGGGAGUAGUAAGAUGAAUAUAAAACAAACUUGAAGAUGCAACCGAGAGGCAGUAAAAGAGGCUUAAACAAACAGUAGCAUACCCUAUCCUUGAAUAGUGAAACAAGAACCCAUAGGUAUUACUUCUCCUUAAGUUAUCCAUAAAUUUAAUGUGAGACCAAUGAAAAUACGAACAGAAAUUUUGGGGAUCUGGUCAAGCUGAGUCCCCAGAGAUUAAGAACUCUCUGUGAAAUAGAAUGGCCUUCUUUUGGUGUUGGUCAGCUGGCCAAGGGAACUAUAGAUAGAGAAACCAUUGGCUGUGUAUUUAAGGUGGUGACGGUGUUGGAGGACAGCCAGGGCAUCUGGACCAAUCCACUUAUAGUAACUCAUGGCUGAAAUAAUGCAAACCUGCCUGCAGGGCUGCAGCCCUGUUUGUCAACUUACUGCAAAACACUCC